GUGUGAUGCUUCUCCUCCUUUAUUUGAGCUCUACUUGCCUGGCAGUGCACACACUGGGCCACCUGAAUGAAGAAGAUUUAAAAACACAGAGAGACAUCCCGUUUUUAACUGUUUUAUUCAACAAGUAUUUCAAAGAUGUUUGGAAAAAGCAACUUGCGGAGGCCAAGUCACCGCACGUAUGAUAUAGGUGACGAGGAUCCUCUCAUUAAAGAGAUCAGCAAAUCAAUGGCCAGACUUUCCAUAAGUGGACAGACUGAGCUAGCGUCCAGGUCCUCCAACAGCCGCAUAUCCAAUAAUAGGGGGUCCACCGAAAUCAAAGAGGCCAAAGGUACCGGUCGCU
Molecule: long non-coding RNA, 340 nt
Organism: Perca flavescens (yellow perch)
Lineage: Eukaryota; Metazoa; Chordata; Actinopteri; Perciformes; Percidae
Exons: 3
Source: RefSeq, a predicted model, not a curated record